ACGGGAUCUGUCCCGUUGAAAGGAAUGUAGCUCGUUAAAGAGCCGAACCUUAGG
Molecule: non-coding RNA, 54 nt
Filed under: unclassified sequences
Description: eL15-Euryarchaeota ribosomal protein leader
Rfam family: eL15-Euryarchaeota ribosomal protein leader
Source: RNAcentral